UGUUCGCGUUCCGGAGCGUCGCGUCAGGAUCGAGGUGACUGGACCGAGAAGAUCCGAGAGGAGCGCCUGUCCCCGCAACAGAGAGGCAGGUCUGAGGCUCGGCGACGCUGCCCGGGGUAUCCUGCGCCAACCCCGGGAGAGUGACCGCCGUGCCCGCGUCUCGCCUCCUCUCCCGCAGCUCCCGGCCCCGCUCCGUCCACCGAGUCCGAUGGCGGCGGCGGCCCUGAGGGACCCGCCUGAGGGUGGUGUGACCUUUGAGGACAUUGCCCUGUACUUCUCCUGGGAGGAAUGGAGGCUCCUCGAUGAGGCUCAGAGACGCCUGUACCGUGAUGUGAUGCUGGAGAACUUGGCGCUCAUAUCUUCACUGGGUGGUUUCUGGAGUGGAGAAGAGAAUGUUGAGGCAUCCUUUGAACAGAGUGUUUCUGUGGUAAUGUCACAGGUCAGGACUUCCAAGGAACCUUCAUCUUGCCAGAAGACUCACCCCUGUGAGAUGUGUGGUCCAGUCUUGAGAGACAUUUUCCAUUUGACUGAGCAGCAGGGAACACAACACAGCCAGAAACUAUUCAAGUGUAGGGCAUGUGCAAAAGGAUUUUAUUUCAGUGCAGACACUCAGCAGCACCAGGAGCAACACAUGCAAGAAAAACCGUUCAUAAUCAGUGUGGACAGGGCCUCAUUUGUGAAGAGCAGCAAUUUCCAUGUGUCAGGGGAGCCUUUUACCUGCAAGAAAGUUGCAGAGGACUUCCCAGCCACCUCAGGACAUCUGAAUCAACAGGCCAUUCACACUGGGGAAAAGCCAAACACAGUCACCCACUGCAUGGAAACUUUACAAAGCAGAAAAAGUCAUUGCACCAGGGGAGAAUGCAAGAAAGCCUUCAGCCCCAAACACACACUUGUUCAGGCCCAGAGUGUCUACACUGAAAGACAGUGUUUUAUGUGCAGUGAAUGUGGGAAAUCAUUCAAGUAUAAAUCCUCAUUUGUUGUGCACCAGAGAAUUCACACUGGUUACAGGCUUUAUGACUGUGGCGAGUGUGGAAAAUCUUUUAGGGGAAGCUCAGCCCUCAUUCAACAUCAAAGAAUUCAUACUGGGGCAAGGCAGUACAGGUGCAGCAAAUGUGGGAAAUCCUUUAGCCAAGAAUUUGUCCUCAUUUAUCCUCAGAGGAGUCACACUGGAGAAAAUUGCCACAUUUGCCAUCCGUGUGCACAGUCUUUUAGCCAUAGCUCCAUCUUUUUUCAACAACAGACAGUUCACACUGGAGAAAUGAGUUAUGAGUGCACUGAAUGUAGGAAGUCCUUUAGACGAAAAUCUGACCUCAUUGAACACUGGAGGGUUCACACAGGAGAAAGGCCUUAUGAGUGCAAUGAAUGUGGGAAAUCCUUUACUUCUAGCUCUGCCCUCCGUUAUCAUCAGAGAGUUCACACUGGAGAAAAGCCUUAUAAAUGUGGGGAAUGUGGGAAGUCUUUUACCUCUAGCUCUGGCCUACGUUAUCAUAAGAGAAUUCACUCAGGAGAAAGGCCAUAUGAGUGUACUGAUUGUGGAAAGUCUUUUACCCAAAUAAAUCACCUCAUUAUACACCGAAAAGUUCACACAGGAGAAAGGCCUUAUGAGUGUAGUGAAUGUGGGAAAUCCUUUAGCUACAAAUGUUACCUGUCUCAACACCAGAGAGUUCACACUGGAGAAAAGCCUUAUGAAUGUAGUGAAUGUGGGAAAUCUUUUACCUCUGGUUCCGCCCUCUGUUAUCAUCAGAGAGUUCACACAGGAGAAAAACCUUAUGAGUGCAGUGAAUGUGGGAAAUCCUUUACCAGUGGACCGAUACUCAUUCGACACCGUAGAGUUCACACAGGAGAAAGGCCUUAUGAGUGCAGUGAAUGUGGGAAAUCCUUUACCCAAAGAAAUCAUCUCAACAUACACCAGAGAGUUCACACAGGAGAAAGACCUUAUGAGUGCAGUGAAUGUAGUAAAUCUUUUACCACUGGUUCCGCCCUUCGUUAUCAUCAGAAAAUUCACAUGGGAGAAAGGCCUUAUGAGUGCAGCGAAUGUGAGAAAUCUUUUUUCUCUAGCUCUGCCCUCCGUUGUCAUCAGAGAGUUCACACAGGAGAAAGGCCUUUUGACUGCAGUAAAUGUGGUAAAUCUUUUAGGGGCAGUUCCCAAUUGAAUCAACACCAGAGAGUUCACACUGGAGAAAAGCCUUAUGAAUGUAGUGAUUGUGGGAGAUCCUUUAGCCAGAAUUCAUACCUCUCUAAACACCGGAGAGUUCACACUGGAGAAAGGCCUUAUGAGUGCAGUGAGUGUGGGAAAUCUUUUACUUCUGUCUCUGCCCUUGGUUAUCAUCACAGAGUUCACACUGGAGAAAGGCCUCAUAAGUGCAGUGACUGUGGGAAGUCUUUUACCAAUAGCUCAAUACUGAUUCGCCAUCGGAGAGUUCACACAGGAGAAAGGCCUCAUGCAUGUAGUGACUGUGGGAAGUCCUUUACCCAAAGAAUUCAGCUCAUAAUUCACCAGAGAGUUCACACAGGAGAAAGGCCUUAUGAGUGCAGUGAAUGUGGGAAAUCGUUUACCUCUCGUUCCACCCUUCAUUAUCAUCAGAAAGUUCACACAGGAGAAAAGCCUUAUGACUGCAGCGAAUGUGGGAAGUCUUUUAGCCGAAGAUCUAACCUCUCUCAGCACCAGCGAGUUCACACUGGAGAAAGGCCUUAAAUGUAAUUCAUGUGAUGGGAAUCAAAGUAUUUACUCUUUCCUGCUUUUAUUUAUGUUGCAUAAAUACUUGGAGAGUCAUCAAUGAUAUCUUGCAGGAUCUUAGUUUCCCAACCAGGCCUCAUCAGUGAAAGUGCAGAGUUCUAACCACUGGACUGCCAGGGAAUUCCCAUUUUUUUCAUUCUUACCAGCAGUGUAUGAGAGCAUUUCUUCCACAUCCUGGUGAAUACUUCAUUU
Molecule: RNA transcript, 2929 nt
Organism: Mesoplodon densirostris (Blainville's beaked whale)
Lineage: Eukaryota; Metazoa; Chordata; Mammalia; Artiodactyla; Ziphiidae
Gene name: zinc finger protein 345-like
Exons: 5
Source: RefSeq, a predicted model, not a curated record